CUGAGUUGAAAAACUCCCAACCCCUGUGAACAUAACCUCUGUCGUUGCUUCGGCGGGCACGCCCGCCGGAGGUUCAAAACUCUUAUUUUUUUCAGUAUCUCUGAGCCUAAAAGACAAAUAAUCAAAACUUUCAACAACGGAUCUCUUGGUUCUGGCAUCGAUGAAGAACGCAGCGAAAUGCGAUAAGUAAUGUGAAUUGCAGAAUUCAGUGAAUCAUCGAAUCUUUGAACGCACAUUGCGCCCGCCGGUAUUCCGGCGGGCAUGCCUGUUCGAGCGUCAUUUCAACCCUCAAGCCUCGGCUUGGUGUUGGGGCGCCCGGGCCCUCCGCGGCCCGGGGCCCCCAAGUUCAUCGGCGGGCUCGUCGGUACACUGAGCGCAGUAAAACGCGGUAAAACGCGAACCUCGUUCGGAUCGUCCCGGCGUGCUCCAGCCGCUAAACCCCCAAUUUUUUAAA
RNAcentral lists this unclassified non-coding RNA (454 nucleotides) under Pyricularia oryzae. RNAcentral describes it as "partial contains ITS1, 5.8S rRNA, ITS2". The stretch from base 126 to 279 matches the Rfam family "5.8S ribosomal RNA". Lineage: Eukaryota; Fungi; Ascomycota; Sordariomycetes; Magnaporthales; Pyriculariaceae. The record is from RNAcentral.